Molecule: long non-coding RNA, 692 nt
Organism: Aphis gossypii (cotton aphid)
Lineage: Eukaryota; Metazoa; Arthropoda; Insecta; Hemiptera; Aphididae
Exons: 3
Source: RefSeq, a predicted model, not a curated record
AUUGGAUUUGAAAAGUACAGUGUUGCCACUUCAGAAGGUAUAACAAGUUAUAUCAUUAUUAGUUUUUUUUUAUCAAUAUUUUAUUUUUAUUUAUUUAAAUUGCCAAACUGUUUCUAAGUAAACCUAUCAAAAUACGCCGUGGUGUUGUGGACAAAGUUUGGUGAGAUUCCAUUUUGGAUCUCAUGGCGGUUAACAUAUUAAUCCGAAUUGCCAUUUGCCGUUAACGAUGAGUGACCACAGCAGAAAAACGUGUGUGUACUACUUGUACAGUAAGCUGUACUUGUUAUUGGAAAUUUUAAAUUAUCCAUUAGUUUUCCAGUCUCUUAAUAGUUACUAUCUUCAAACAGUUCUAACAAUCUUUUUAUUGUGAGAAUAUCAUCCGGGAUGUUUGAUUUCUGGCAGGAAAUCUUUGUUUAUGACUGUAUGUUUACUAAACUAUGAAGUAAACGUUUUCAAACCUGGCGAUCGCCAGCUAACCAUACUACCUCGGUUCUGUUCAGACUUAGGUUGACUGUCAACUGUUGACAGUUUUGUCUCAGUCACAUGAGCAUUCAUUUCUAUUUUAGAAUUAUUAGAAUCUGAAAAAUUAUUUAGAUGUGCAUGGAAGUAGGCCAGCAUGAUGGAAUGUCAUAUGCCUUCAUCGGUAUCGAUCGUUUCCUGUCGCUUGUACAACAUCGAGCCUGUUAUGAUAA